AAAAGAAUUGAUGAGAAACAUGAAGAUCAAAUGUCCAUCUCGAAACACUGCUUUUACAAAAGCAGAAUAAAAUGGAAAGAAAUGAAAAUGA
Unclassified non-coding RNA from Ictidomys tridecemlineatus (thirteen-lined ground squirrel), 91 nucleotides. The record is from Ensembl. NCBI's taxonomy places the organism in Eukaryota, Metazoa, Chordata, Mammalia, Rodentia, Sciuridae.